RNAcentral lists this ribosomal RNA (18 nucleotides) under Hydnophlebia canariensis. RNAcentral's name for it is "partial 28S ribosomal RNA". Lineage: Eukaryota; Fungi; Basidiomycota; Agaricomycetes; Polyporales; Meruliaceae. The record is from RNAcentral.
CUGACCUCAAAUCAAGUA